CCUACGGGCGGCAGCAGUGGGGAAUAUUGGACAAUGGGCGCAACCCUGAUCCAGCCAUGCCGCGUGUGUGAAGAAGGCCCUCGGGUUGUAAAGCACUUUCAGUGAGGAAGAACGCCUGGUGGUUAAUACCCAUCAGGAAAGACAUCACUCACAGAAGAAGCACCGGCUAACUCCGUGCCAGCAGCCGCGGUAAUACGGAGGGUGCGAGCGUUAAUCGGAAUUACUGGGCGUAAAGCGCGCGUAGGUGGCUUGAUAAGCCGGUUGUGAAAGCCCCGGGCUCAACCUGGGAACGGCAUCCGGAACUGUCAAGCUAGAGUGCAGGAGAGGAAGGUAGAAUUCCCGGUGUAGCGGUGAAAUGCGUAGAGAUCGGGAGGAAUACCAGUGGCGAAGGCGGCCUUCUGGACUGACACUGACACUGAGGUGCGAAAGCGUGGGUAGCAAACAGGAUUAGAUACCCUUGUAGUC
Molecule: ribosomal RNA, 465 nt
Filed under: Vreelandella stevensii
Lineage: Bacteria; Pseudomonadati; Pseudomonadota; Gammaproteobacteria; Oceanospirillales; Halomonadaceae
Description: partial 16S ribosomal RNA
Rfam family: Bacterial small subunit ribosomal RNA
Source: RNAcentral